Molecule: ribosomal RNA, 253 nt
Filed under: uncultured bacterium
Lineage: Bacteria
Description: partial 16S ribosomal RNA
Rfam family: Bacterial small subunit ribosomal RNA
Source: RNAcentral
UACGGAGGGUGCAAGCGUUAUCCGGAAUUAUUGGGCGUAAAGGGUCCGCAGGUGGCUAUGUAAGUCUGCUGUCAAAGAAUGAGGCUUAACCUCAUCAAGGCAGUGGAAACUACAUAGCUAGAGUACGGUCGGGGUAGAAGGAAUUCCUGGUGUAGCGGUGAAAUGCGUAGAGAUCAGGAAGAACACCGGUGGCGAAAGCGUUCUGCUAGACCUGUACUGACACUGAGGGACGAAAGCUAGGGGAGCGAAUGGG